Molecule: long non-coding RNA, 7010 nt
Filed under: Daucus carota (carrot)
Lineage: Eukaryota; Viridiplantae; Streptophyta; Magnoliopsida; Apiales; Apiaceae
Description: long non-coding RNA (DCAR_LNC006671)
Source: RNAcentral
CAACAAGAGUAAAUCUCGAAAUGUUGUCUCCUGGAAUGCCAUUGUCGCGAGCUAUGCUCAAAAUGGGCUUGAGAUGGAUGCAAUAGAACUUGUGAGAGAAAUGCAGGCUAAUGAAGAAAUCCCCAACUCUGUUACCUUUACAAACGUUCUUCCUGCCUGUGCACGAGUGGGGUUUCUUCGUGCAGGAAAAGAGAUUCAUGCUAGGUCAGUUAGAACAGGGUCUUCUACUGAUCUCUUUGUUUCAAAUGCUUUGAUAGACAUGUACGCCAAAUGUGGGUGCCUUAGUGUAGCACAAAAUGUUUUUGACAACUCUAUUAGAGAUGAAGUAUCAUAUAAUACUUUAAUCAUAGGUUAUUCUCAGUUAAGUGAUUGCUUGAAAGCAAUAACGUUAUUCACCGAAAUGGGGUUGAUAGGGAUGAAGCAUGAUAGUGUGUCCUAUAUGGGGGCUCUCUCAGCUUGUGCAAACAUUUCUGCCGCUAAACAAGGAAAGGAGAUUCAUGGUUUAGCCGUAAGAAAGCUGUUUCAUAUGCAUUUGUUUGUAGCCAACUCACUUCUCGACUUUUACACCAAAUGUGGAAGAAUUGAUCUUGCUCGAAAGGUUUUCGAUCAUAUUCCUAUCAAGGAUGUAGCCUCAUGGAAUACAAUGAUUUUAGGGUAUGGGAUGCUAGGUGAAUUUGAUACUGCAAUUAAUCUUUUUGAGAUCAUGAAAGAAGAUGGCAUCAAAUGUGAUUCAGUUUCUUAUAUUGCAGUAUUAUCUGCUUGUAGUCAUGGAGGGUUCGUGGAGAAAGGCAAACAGUAUUUUAACGAGAUCUAUGCUCUGGGUAUCGGACCAAACCAAACGCACUAUGCUUGUAUGGUUGAUAUUCUUGCUCGAGCUGGCCUAAUGGAAGAGGCAGUAAAGUUCAUAAAGAGCAUGCCACUGGAACCAGAUGCAAAUGUCUGGGGUUCUCUGCUUGGGGCAUGCCGACUCCAUGAAAAUAUCGAGUUGGGAUCCUGGGCUGCAGAGAAUUUACUCAAGCUAAAACCGGAGCAACCAGGAUAUUACAUACUCCAUUCAAACAUGUAUGCAAAAGCAGGGAGAUGGGAUGAGGCAGAUAAUGUCAGAAAACUAAUGAAAUCGAGGGGAGUGAAGAAAAAUCCGGGCUGUAGUUGGAUAUGAACUUGUAUAACAAAGUGGGUAUCACAUUUACCUUCAACAUAUUGCAAUGUAGCCAAGUAUAGAAUUGAUAUUCCUUAACUGGAUUAAGGGGUUGUUUGACUUAAUUUAAAAGAAGUAAAUUAUUGUUUCCGACCUGGGUGACGGCGAGGUGGUGGAUGGAUCACCUCCAAAACCUGCUAAGAAACGGAGAAGAGCAUCUGAGCUCGGUAGUGAGUUGGGAGCUCUGCAUGAAGCCCAAUAUUUCACUGGUGGUAAUGUUGGAAAAAUCCCUUUGCUCGUUUUGCUAAUCUAAAUUCAGGCUCGUCUUCUCUCAACAGGAGCUUGAUCAGGGAUAAAGGAAAAACAAAAUUAAUGGAUGACUUUGCGUUCAGUGAUAAUGGAGUUCUCUCAAGAGGCAAUAGAGCUCCUAGACGAAAAGAGGCUCCAAAAAUAUUCUCAGGUCUUCUCUAAUGACAUUAUAAACUUGGAUGCUCUGGUUGGUUGGUGAUGAAGUUUUUGCAAGCGAUAUGUCUUACCAUGCUUUGUUUGGUUCAUUUACAGGAGAUCUUAUCAAAACUUGCAGUGUCUAGCCUGGAAAAGACAAAAGAUCAUUAAAAUUAUUAGAUCAAUUAAAAUUAAAAUUAAAAUUAAGAGUUAUAUAUAUUCAGAUGAAUCGAGAAUAUAUAUUCAGACAAAAGAUCAUUAAAAUUAUUAGAUCAAUUAAAAUUAUCUUCGUAUCAAACNUUUUCGAUCAUAUUCCUAUCAAGGAUGUAGCCUCAUGGAAUACAAUGAUUUUAGGGUAUGGGAUGCUAGGUGAAUUUGAUACUGCAAUUAAUCUUUUUGAGAUCAUGAAAGAAGAUGGCAUCAAAUGUGAUUCAGUUUCUUAUAUUGCAGUAUUAUCUGCUUGUAGUCAUGGAGGGUUCGUGGAGAAAGGCAAACAGUAUUUUAACGAGAUCUAUGCUCUGGGUAUCGGACCAAACCAAACGCACUAUGCUUGUAUGGUUGAUAUUCUUGCUCGAGCUGGCCUAAUGGAAGAGGCAGUAAAGUUCAUAAAGAGCAUGCCACUGGAACCAGAUGCAAAUGUCUGGGGUUCUCUGCUUGGGGCAUGCCGACUCCAUGAAAAUAUCGAGUUGGGAUCCUGGGCUGCAGAGAAUUUACUCAAGCUAAAACCGGAGCAACCAGGAUAUUACAUACUCCAUUCAAACAUGUAUGCAAAAGCAGGGAGAUGGGAUGAGGCAGAUAAUGUCAGAAAACUAAUGAAAUCGAGGGGAGUGAAGAAAAAUCCGGGCUGUAGUUGGAUAUGAACUUGUAUAACAAAGUGGGUAUCACAUUUACCUUCAACAUAUUGCAAUGUAGCCAAGUAUAGAAUUGAUAUUCCUUAACUGGAUUAAGGGGUUGUUUGACUUAAUUUAAAAGAAGUAAAUUAUUGUUUCCGACCUGGGUGACGGCGAGGUGGUGGAUGGAUCACCUCCAAAACCUGCUAAGAAACGGAGAAGAGCAUCUGAGCUCGGUAGUGAGUUGGGAGCUCUGCAUGAAGCCCAAUAUUUCACUGGUGGUAAUGUUGGAAAAAUCCCUUUGCUCGUUUUGCUAAUCUAAAUUCAGGCUCGUCUUCUCUCAACAGGAGCUUGAUCAGGGAUAAAGGAAAAACAAAAUUAAUGGAUGACUUUGCGUUCAGUGAUAAUGGAGUUCUCUCAAGAGGCAAUAGAGCUCCUAGACGAAAAGAGGCUCCAAAAAUAUUCUCAGGUCUUCUCUAAUGACAUUAUAAACUUGGAUGCUCUGGUUGGUUGGUGAUGAAGUUUUUGCAAGCGAUAUGUCUUACCAUGCUUUGUUUGGUUCAUUUACAGGAGAUCUUAUCAAAACUUGCAGUGUCUAGCCUGGAAAAGACAAAAGAUCAUUAAAAUUAUUAGAUCAAUUAAAAUUAAAAUUAAAAUUAAGAGUUAUAUAUAUUCAGAUGAAUCGAGAAUAUAUAUUCAGACAAAAGAUCAUUAAAAUUAUUAGAUCAAUUAAAAUUAUCUUCGUAUCAAACGAGUAAACAAAAAAUUGAAAAUUAUUAUAAUUUGUUUUCCUAUUCAAACAAGUCAAGAAUUGCACUACUCAAAAAAGUUUAUAUUAUGAUUUUUUAUAUAUUAAUAAACUACUUGAGAAGCCGCGCGGCCCGCCGCAAGGCCUAUAAAAAUUAUAUUAAUAAUUUAAUAUUAAUAUUUGUAGAAUGCAAUAAUUUUAUGGCUCUCUAUAAAAAAAUAUAUUAAUGAUUCAAAAUUAAUAUUUUUGUUGGAUAAAAUAAAUUUUAUAUUAUAAAAAUCUUGAUGUAAUACAAUACAUAUAUAUAAAAUUGCAAAAUUGGACUAUAAUUCAUGGUGAAAAAAAUGAAAAUAAAUUUCUACACGUAAUCAACAAUUUAAAGCACGGCGAAUCUUAUUUUUUGUUGUGUGUUUGUUUUUACAUUGUCACCUUCCUCCAAUUUUUUUGGAUUGAUUGUGCACAAAAACAUCUAACUUAAAUCUGUGAGAUAACGGACUAUAACUAACCUUACUUGUAACAACCUUUAUUUUUUAAUGCAGUAUAAACAGCCUUCACUUAAAAAGUUGCGUGAACGGAGCAAACAGAUAAUGCAUGAAUAAUAUUUUCCUCUAUACUCCCUCUGUCCCUCUCAUUUCUUUACAGUUACUAUUUUGGGAUGUCCCUCUCAUUUCUUUACAUUACCAUAAAUAGUAAGUUUUUUCAAUCAUUACACCCACUAUCUUCCCCCACUAUCUCAUAUUUAACAAUAAAAACUACUAUUACACCCACUACUUUCCUCCACUAUCUCAAAUCUAUUAUUAAAUAUUGAUGGGUCCCACCAUUUUACCCACUUUUCAUUUAACUUUACUCAUUUUUCAUACAUUGUCUUGGUCUCUGUGUCCCCCUCCAAUGUAAACAACUGAGGGGGACGGAGAGAGUACAAACUAAAUCAUAUAAAAAUUAACAACAACAAACAUGUCCGAUUAACAAAACAAAUAUUAUAAAAGAAUAACCAACAAACAUACAUCACUAAUAGUUAAUUUAUUGACAUCAUCCAUCAAUAUCAUGUCAAGACUAUAUUCUCCUCCCGUGUUACAUAGCGGUCUAUAACUAACUUCGCUUGCAACAACCUUUAUUUUUUUUAAUACCGUAUAAACAGCCUUCACUUAUCGUUGUAGAAGAACGACACCACCGAAUUAGAAAUUGAGCAAGAGAACUAUCGUCAGAGAGAGGUACGGUUGUGGUAUUGAGAGAGAGAAGAGGUUGUGUUUAGAUGAUCCAAAACCUACAACCUAUAGCGACAUUUAUAGGUGCAGAGAGACUUGUGUGCUACUUUUUCCUAUAAUUAAAUAAUUUGAAAUAAAAUCAAAUUAAAACUUUCAAGUUGCUAUGUUCCAUAAAUAAUCUGAAACAAAAUCAGAUUCUAAAACUUGCUUCUAAUAUAUUCUGAAAUUUGCUUCUAAUAUAUCCGAAACUAAACAGCGUUCAAUUUAAAGUUGCUUGAACGGAGCAAACAGAUAAUGCAUGAAUAAUUAUUUUCCCGUAUACAAAGUAUAUCAUAUAAAAAUUAACAACAACAAACAUGUCCGAAGAACAAAAAAAUAUUAUAAAAUAAUAACCAACAAACAUAUAUCAUUAACAGUUAAUUUAUUAAUAUUAUCCAUCAAUAUUAUGUCAGGACUAUAUUUUUUUCCCGUGUUUGGAUUUGUUGACUUCAACAUCGCGGUCUAUAACUACCUCUGCUUGCAAUAACCUUUAUUUUUUCAAUACUGUAUAAACAGCUUUCAUUUAUCGUUGCACACCACUAAGUUUGAAAUCGAGCAAGAGAACUAUCACCAGAGAUAGGUAGGGUUGUGGUAUUGAGAGAGAGGAAGUUGCCAUCCAAAACCCUACAAUCUACAGGGGUAUUUAUAGGUGCAGAGAGACUUGUGUGCUACUCUUUCCCAUAAUUAGAUAAUCUGAAACAAAAUCAGAUUAAAACUUUCAAGUUACUAUAUUCCAUAAAUAAUCUGAAAACAAAAUCAGACUCUGAAACUUGCUUCUAAUAUACUCGAAACUAAAAAAAGAUGGUUCUUAUUUUUGAUUUUUUUUCAUCUAAAAAAUCCAAAAAAUUAGAAAAAUAGAACAGAGCGAUGUGAGAGGCGACUACACGUUAUGAAUGAAAUUACAAGAUAUUUUAUUAUUCAAAUAAGUUAAUAAUGAAAUUACAAGUGUUUAAAAAUAAUUUUAAUAAAAAAUAAUGUCACAAUUUGUCAUUAUUUGACUAGUUAAAAACAAAAUUAUAAGCUCUCUUAAUAUCCAAAGAGUCAGGAAUUAGCGUAUAAGUUGUUAUAAAUUUACACAAAUUAUUUAAAAAAAGAAAUAAAUUAUUCAAAGUUUUUUUUAUAAAAUUGAGAUGUUCAUAACAACUGAUAAUUGUCAAUAAUUUAUAUUGACAUAACAAAUAUUUCGAAUGAGUAUGAUGAAAUUUGCACAUAAUAAAUUUACUCCCUCCAUCUUCGUGAAUUAUAUAUAUCGAAGUAUGAUGAGGUGUGCAUAUAAAAAUUUACUUCUUCCAUCUUCGUGAAUUAUAUAUAUACUGGAGGAUGAGAACGUGAUGCGCAUUUUAUUUUUCCAACAAAAUAUAAUUUUAUAUUUAAUUUUUUUAUAUUCAAAAAAUAAAUUAUAAAAAUGAAUUUUAAGAUGGUACAAUAUAGGCGAUGAAAUGUGAAAAUGGAGCGAGUACAAAACACCAAUGGCAAGGGGCUAUAGACCUGGAAGCAAAUUUUAAAAAACCACUUAUAUAUUUCGAAUUUUUUUAAAAACUUUUAUAAAUUGCAAAAUUUAAAAUGAUAAAAAAUUAUAUAAAAAAAAAUUAAAAGGGCACGUGCCUUCUUCCUAAAUCGGCCCGGCUACAAACCACUCCUGGACUUAACUCCGGUGCUCACUUGUUUCUGUAUCAUGCUCGCUCUCUCUUGCCUUCAAAACCUUUUUAAAAUCAAAACCAAACACCUUUCUCACUUUCACACUCAACCCUAUUUCGUCUCAUUAAACAUUCUCCCAAUCUGCUCUUCCACACUUUCACUUGCACAAACAAAACAAGCCCACGCUUUCGCUCUUCUCAGCGGCUUACUUCCCCACAGUGUAUCUGUUUCUGCAUCGCUCAUUCUCCAGUAUGCAAAAUUCAACAGCCCCCGAGCUUUCAAGCUUUUGUUUGAUCAAACUGUGGCUCAUUGUCGAACGGCAUGCUUGGGGAUUUUGUUUUGGUGAGUGAGAUUCAUUGUGAAAUUAUGAAGGUGGGUCUUGAUCGGGAUUUGAUGGUUGGAACUGCUUUGGUUGCUGCUUAUGGAAAAUGUGGUGAUAUGGAUUGUUUGAUGCGAGUGUUUGAUGGAAUGGUUGAAAGGAAUGUUGUUUCUUGGAAUGCGGUUAUUACUAGCUUUAAGUAUGGAGGACAUGGUAGAGACGCUUUGGAUAUCUUUAGGUUGAUGAUUAGCGACGGUGUGAAACCAGAUGGCGUCACAAUAUCUAGUAUGCUACCUGUGUUGGUUGAGUUGAACUGUUUUGCUGCAGGGAAAGAAGUACACUGUUAUAGUUUGAAACUGAGUUUAAAUUCAGAUAUAUCCGUUUCCACUUCUUUAAUAGAUAUGUAUGGCAAAUCUGGGCAUCCAGUUAAGGCAUAUCACGUGUUUAACAAAAGUAAAUCUCGAAAUGUUGUCUCCUGGAAUGCCAUUGUCGCGAGCUAUGCUCAAAAUGGGCUUGAGAUGGAGGCAAUAGAACUUGUGAGAGAAAUGCAGGCUAAUGAAGAAAUGCCCAACUCUGUUACCUUUACAAACGUUCUUCCUGCCUGUGCACGAGUGGGGUUUCUUCGUGCAGGAAAAGAGAUUCAUGCUAG